AUAAUUAUUUUGGACAUUGGAAGAAACGAUUUCAAAAAGAGAAAACCCCUAAUAGUCCCCCCUCCCAUUUCCCUCCCUCAGCCGCCACCCUCCAAAAUCCACUCCCUCGCCAUUUUUUCCGACCAACAUCACAACCAAACUACAUCACUACCUCUACAUUUUUCUCAACAAAUGACCCAAAAACUCAAACGGCCUCCGAAACCAACACGGACACCAAGUCACUUUCACCAACGGUAACAACCACAAUGCAGUUGCAACUCCGAUAGCAACCAGCAACCAGCACCCUACCUCUUCCUUGCAUUUUCCAGGUGCAAAAUAACCCAAAUCCACCUGGAACAACCACCAUUUCCUCCAUCCAAACAAUUUGAAACCACCAUACUUUCCUUUUUCUCCUUUCCCAAUAGAAAAAAACCACCAGAUUCACAUCCAAAAUGCACCACCACAAACCACCAAUUUUCGGAAAACCCUCAUCCCCGUUUCCUCUUUUUCUUGCUGCAACGAGCCGCUCCGGCGAGGAGCGAGGAGCUCCGAUGAACCAGAUCUAGCGAACCGGCCAGCCCUUCCCUUGCCCCCCCUACCUCAUGAUUUUUCUUUUGUUUUGCAGGUUUCACGUGAGCUACGCGUUUCAAAGUUUCGGUAAUGUAAGCAAACAACACACCUUCAUUUCCAUCAGAUCUGAUCGAGUUUUGCCGGUAAAUAGCAACCAAAACGGUACCAACAACUCAGACAAACAUCCACUCCGGCGAAACACAAGAACCCUGGUGAGAUCUCACCUGAGUAGAUAUGCCCAGCUCUUGAGUCUCCGAGGAAAUCACAAGGGUACACCGAGUUGCUUUCCAUCGAAGCUAUUCGAAUGAAAUUCGAAUUGUAAUUUUAUAUAUUAUUGUGUAUAUUAUUGGCGAUAUGCAAACUUAGGUCAUUUUUUAUUAUUUUUUUAUUUUAUUAUCUGUGUAUAUUGAAUGCAUAUUAUACUUGUGUAUAGUUUAUUUCCUCCUCAAUUUGAAAAAAAAUAAAUCUGGUCGGGACCACAUUUGUGGAUUUCAAAGGGUGCUUGACACCUUUCCUUCGGAA
Molecule: long non-coding RNA, 1071 nt
Organism: Solanum pennellii
Lineage: Eukaryota; Viridiplantae; Streptophyta; Magnoliopsida; Solanales; Solanaceae
Exons: 2
Source: RefSeq, a predicted model, not a curated record